Long non-coding RNA from Mustela erminea (ermine), 979 nucleotides. RefSeq lists it as uncharacterized. The record is from RefSeq and is a predicted model, not a curated record. Lineage: Eukaryota; Metazoa; Chordata; Mammalia; Carnivora; Mustelidae. The transcript is spliced from 4 exons.
CACUGGCACCUUCCCCUGCUGUGUGGCCUCAGGCAGACCCCAGUUACUCCCCUCAGGGUCCAGCAUCCUUGAUUCCAGGUGAAGCCACUGCCCUGAAUACAGGCCAAACAGCACGGACUGCUUGCCCGUCCAGCCCCUCUCUUGGAACAUCAAGCAGGGAAGAAAGAGGGAGAAAACUUGCCCCUAGAGGAUCAUCCCGGGAUGACGCCCAGUCUGGGUAACACAUAGAGAGGAACGUGGGUUCGAAUCUUAGUCCUGCCACAUAUGAGAAAAAUCCAAGGCUCAAAAGGAGGGUGUGGUUUGCCACGUGACCCGCAGCUAAUCAGCAGGACUCCAGCCUCAGCCCUCAGCUGGCCUCCCCCCAGUUUAUGGGCCCUCCGGGAGGAGUGCACCUUCCCCACAGUCAUGCGGGGCUUCGGGGCUGCCUCUGGACGUUCAAGCAGGGAGUGAUGGAGAUCAGGGGACAACAGCAGGGUGAAGUUUGGUGAGCCGGUCAAGCUUGUGGUGUUUGGGCCUGGACGGCAGGGGCCUGGAGCAGCACCCUGGGGGGAACCAGGGGACAACCAGCACUCCAGGCCCCUUGAGUGGGGAACUGGGCCCAGGGUACCUGCCGUUUUCUGAGAUAGUGGGAGUGGGGUUGGUGGGGGGGUGUUGGCAGAGAAAGAGACACCAGCUAAUUGAAAUAAUAGUAACAACAGGUCUGGCUCCGGGGCCGAAAGAGAUGUUGGGGGCCAAGAAACCUGGCCAAGGCGACAGCUGCCUCCCCUGGAGUAGGAGCCCAGCUCUGGCCCUGCCCUGGAUAUGGGCAGCCCUGUCCAAAGUACAGAAGUCACCUGCAGGUCGCCCAGCCUGAGCUCUGCGAGGACAGCCUGGCCUGGCAGUGCCCCAAGCCCUGAGGCAACUCUCAGAGAAGACAGAAUCGGGGAAAGGAAAGGGAAGCUGGGGAGGGAGGGGGAGGCCAGGGGCUCUCUGUGCAGCA